This 440-nucleotide ribosomal RNA is filed under the name uncultured bacterium. Its description in RNAcentral is "bacterial SSU rRNA". It matches the Rfam family "Bacterial small subunit ribosomal RNA", at positions 339 to 794 of the family's 1533-position model. The record is from RNAcentral.
CUACGGGAGGCAGCAGUAAGGGAUAUUGCGACAAUGGGCGAAAGCCUGACGCAGCAACGCCGCGUGCGGGAUGACAGCCUUCGGGUUGUAAACCGCUUUUGGAGGGGAAGAGGAAGGACGGUACCCUUCGAAGAAGUCUCGGCUAACUACGUGCCAGCAGCCGCGGUAAAACGUAGGAGGCGAGCGUUAUCCGGAUUUACUGGGUGUAAAGCGCGAGCAGGCGGUUUUUCAAGUGGCGUGUGAAAGCGCCCGGCUCAACCGGGCGAGGACGGGCCAGACUGAGAGACUGGAGACAGGCAGAGGCGGAUGGAAUUCCGGGUGUAGUGGUGAAAUGCGUAGAGAUCCGGAGGAACACCAGUGGCGAAGGCGGUCCGCUGGGCCUUGUCUGACGCUCAGACGCGAAAGCAUGGGGAGCGAACGGGAUUAGAUACCCCGGUAGU